This is a long non-coding RNA of Esox lucius (northern pike), 578 nucleotides long. RefSeq lists it as uncharacterized. NCBI's taxonomy places the organism in Eukaryota, Metazoa, Chordata, Actinopteri, Esociformes, Esocidae. The transcript is spliced from 4 exons. The record is from RefSeq and is a predicted model, not a curated record.
GCAAUGGCUGUAAUUAACCAACCAGUGCAUUGGCUUUAACCAAGCGCUUCUUUUAGGCCUAUAAUUGUUGAUCCGUCUCAAAUUGCUGUGGAGGAAUUUUUGGACUUACUGGCCCAUACACAUUUUAAGUAGAGCCGGCCAAGAGGAGCGAACGUCUUACUGAGAGAAUAGCAGGUCAUCUGUCAAGCCGCUCCCGAGGCACCACCUUCUGAGAUGAGAACUGCAACUCUGAAACAAACUAAGCAGAGCAGGACCCUGGAAACACGGCCUCAAAAACCCAGCACUGGGGAUCACCCUGGGCAUGGAAGAUGAGGUGACAUGACACGCACGUGUGAAGCUCAUCUGGCAAGAGGAGAGAAUGAAAGGAGCGGAUGGAUGGGAAUAAUCAUUCAAAGAACACUGGGCUGAGAACACACAUCGUAAUGCUUCCUCCUUUUACAAAGCCUACUGCAUUUUACUGUUCUUUUUGGUAUGACCUACAGACAGUUUUAGUUAAGCUGGGGACACAUUAAGAUAACACCAAUUGGUGAAAUAGUUAAAGGUGCAGCUCAACGUUUUAAAAAGAUCACCAAAAUAAA